GAUGAACGCUGGCGGCGUGCUUAACACAUGCAAGUCGAACGAUGAAAGCGGGAGCUUGCUCCUGCUGGAUUAGUGGCGAACGGGUGAGUAACACGUGAGUAACCUGCCCUUGACUCUGGGAUAAGCGUUGGAAACGACGUCUAAUACCGGAUACGACCUUCGGAGGCAUCUCCUGGGGGUGGAAAGAAUUUCGGUCAAGGAUGGACUCGCGGCCUAUCAGCUAGUUGGGGAGGUAAUGGCUCACCAAGGCGACGACGGGUAGCCGGCCUGAGAGGGUGACCGGCCACACUGGGACUGAGACACGGCCCAGACUCCUACGGGAGGCAGCAGUGGGGAAUAUUGCACAAUGGGCGAAAGCCUGAUGCAGCAACGCCGCGUGAGGGACGACGGCCUUCGGGUUGUAAACCUCUUUUAGUAGGGAAGAAGCGAAAGUGACGGUACCUGCAGAAAAAGCACCGGCUAACUACGUGCCAGCCGCCGCCGUAA
Molecule: ribosomal RNA, 486 nt
Filed under: uncultured bacterium
Lineage: Bacteria
Description: partial 16S ribosomal RNA
Rfam family: Bacterial small subunit ribosomal RNA
Source: RNAcentral